UGGGGAAUUUUGGACAAUGGGCGCAAGCCUGAUCCAGCCAUGCCGCGUGCGGGAAGAAGGCCUUCGGGUUGUAAACCGCUUUUGUCAGGGAAGAAAUCUUCUGAGUUAAUACCUCGGGAGGAUGACGGUACCUGAAGAAUAAGCACCGGCUAACUACGUGCCAGCAGCCGCGGUAAUACGUAGGGUGCAAGCGUUAAUCGGAAUUACUGGGCGUAAAGCGUGCGCAGGCGGUUUUGUAAGACAGAGGUGAAAUCCCCGGGCUCAACCUGGGAACUGCCUUUGUGACUGCAAGGCUUGAGUGCGGCAGAGGGGGAUGGAAUUCCGCGUGUAGCAGUGAAAUGCGUAGAUAUGCGGAGGAACACCGAUGGCGAAGGCAAUCCCCUGGGCCUGCACUGACGCUCAUGCACGAAAGCGUGGGGAGCAAACAGGAUUAGAUACCCUGGUAGUCCACGCCCUAAACGAUGUCAACUGGUUGUUGGGAAGGUUCCUUCUCAGUAACGUAGCUAACGCGUGAAGUUGACCGCCUGGGGAGUACGGCCGCAAGGUUGAAACUCAA
Molecule: ribosomal RNA, 556 nt
Filed under: uncultured bacterium
Lineage: Bacteria
Description: partial 16S ribosomal RNA
Rfam family: Bacterial small subunit ribosomal RNA
Source: RNAcentral